AAGGGAAUAAACGCUGGCCACCCGAGCCCACGGAGGCAACCCACUUGGGUGCUACUCCACGCUGUGGAAGUUUUGUUCUUUCCCUCUUCGCAAUAAGUCUUGCUGCUGCUCAGUAUUUGGGUCUGCGCUACCUUUAUGAGCUGUAGCACUCCCCACGAAGGUCUGCAGCUUCACUCCUGAAGCCAGCAACACCACGAACCUACCGGGAGGAACAAACAACUCCAGAGGCACCACCAUUAAGAGCUGUUAACACUCACUGCGAAGGUCUCCGGCUUCACUCCUGAAGUCAGUGAGACCUCGAACCCACCCGAAGGAAGAAACUCCAGACAGAUCUGAACAUCUGAAGGAAUAAACUCCGGACACACCAUCUUUAAGAACUGUAACACUCACCGCGAGGGGCCGCAGCUGCGUUCUUGAAGUCAGCGAGACCAAGAGCCCACUGGAAGGAACCAAUUCCGGACACAGCCCUGGAGUGAUAGGGCAGCAGAAUAUCUACUCUGAACUAAGAGCAUAACAAAGGAGGUGGAAGAGGCGCCAGGAUAGCUCCCAUAUUUGGAGUGUUAUCAUUCAAGUACACACUGGCACCAGGGUCCCUGAGGCUUGCUCAUUGAGGUUGUCAACACUGCAAGAAGGAGUUUUUGUGGCAGAACAGACAUUGAUUGGAGAUGCUGGCAAGGCAGGGUGAAGCCAAGAGACCAGAAGAUGAUGGUCAUUGAAAAGAGAUUUUGUUACAGUUCAAGAGAAGCAAGCACAACAUGCCAUGCCUUCAUCUUCUGCUAUGAUUUUUGUGAAGAUACAGAGAGAAAACGUCUGUCUAUGUGGAAGGAGGUCCUCUCCAGCGCAUCAUCUGCCAGCUCCUUGACUUAGGACCCUCCAGCCUCUAGAACUGAGAAAUAAAUAUCUGUUGUGUA
Homo sapiens (human) is the source of this 911-nucleotide long non-coding RNA. Lineage: Eukaryota; Metazoa; Chordata; Mammalia; Primates; Hominidae. The record is from Ensembl.